UUGGCGGGAGUUUCGGAGGCGGUGACCGUGACGUAGAAGGUGGAGACCGCUUCACCCUGAUCAGGGAGGAUCGGCUGCGGGUGCGCAAGGCGUCCAGGAGUGACCUGGGGCUGUGGAGGGCGACCCGUGGCCUUGUGUUUCAGAGUUUACCACCUAGGAUGACUUCAGUGACUAGAUCAGAGAUCAUAGAUGGUAAGUAUUGUAGUGAAAUUCAGUACCUCUUACCUUGGGUUCAGGCUUCUGAGCUAUACCCAAAUCUUUCCUGGCUCCUGGUAGAUUUGGA
This 283-nucleotide long non-coding RNA is filed under the name Pan troglodytes (chimpanzee). Its description in RNAcentral is "long non-coding RNA NONPTRT009217". Lineage: Eukaryota; Metazoa; Chordata; Mammalia; Primates; Hominidae. The record is from RNAcentral.